CAUACCCUGCAGUAGAUGGGAAAGGCCACGGAGGACACGUUCUGUCUCAGCUUGACACAUCUUUGGAAAUGAUCCCUUGGGGGGUCCAGCAUAUUCUAUGAAGGAGUGAAAAAGGUCUUUGUUUUCAUACUUCACCUAAAAAGAUAAAAACGAGAGAGCCUAUGAAAAGAAGCCUUGCUUCCUGGAGGCAUGUAGGAAGAAAAUGGUGCCUUGCCUUCCCACCACAUGGCCUUGUUUUACAACUCUCCACGGUGGGCUUUGAAGCCCAGGGCUGGUCAGUGGGCAGCUCCUAAGGGAAGUGUCAGAGCAGAGCUGUGGCAGCCUGGCUGCUUUGGGUCAACUACCACCCCAACCACCCCAACGUCCAUGUCUCCAAGUGGCCCCCAGAAUUUGUAUUCAUGGAUGGAAUUCUAGUCCAGGAGGG
Long non-coding RNA from Suricata suricatta (meerkat), 424 nucleotides. RefSeq lists it as uncharacterized. NCBI's taxonomy places the organism in Eukaryota, Metazoa, Chordata, Mammalia, Carnivora, Herpestidae. The record is from RefSeq and is a predicted model, not a curated record. The transcript is spliced from 3 exons.